Molecule: long non-coding RNA, 9732 nt
Filed under: Hordeum vulgare
Lineage: Eukaryota; Viridiplantae; Streptophyta; Magnoliopsida; Poales; Poaceae
Description: long non-coding RNA (HVUL_LNC007602)
Source: RNAcentral
AGAAGGCUGGAGAGUAUGAGAAGGCAGGUAUUUUCUUUCAAAAUGGUCACCUGAAUGAGAUACAAGGUUGGAUGGACAUCUUUGCUAUAGCUUGUAUACUUACUGUUAGAGUAAAACGAGAUUGAAUGAAAGUGAAUGGACCAUUAGUCCUGAUUUCUAUUGAUUCUCAAGUAUAUAUACAUCUGGAAGAGGCUAGAAGAAGAGGUGUCUAUUCGGAGGCAUCCCUCCAGAACAGGUGCCUCUUGGCAAUAGAGAUAGAAGAGACAUGACUGUUCGGGGUUGGACACCCUUUGCUAAUUAAUUUCUAACACUCCCCUUGUACAACACCAUUCCUUGAAUGUUUCAUUGUUGAAAGCUUCUUGCAUAUAGAACUUCCAUCGUGAGAAAUCUUUCAUAUAAUCUUGAGAGUUUCCCCCCAAAAACCCUAUGGGAAAAAUAUGAGUAGAAUAGAAUAGAUAUGUUGCUAAAAGUCCUUUAAACCCAGUGGAAAAAAUAAGGAGAAUGAUGCAACAUAUAAUGAUUAUUGUCUCUUGAUAACUCAUAUGAGAAAAACCUUUCAAGAAGGAGAAAACUCAUCAAUAAGUUUAGAGAACAAUUAAUAAGUCGUGAGUACUUCCUUUAAAAACCCCAAUAGGGAAAAUAGAAAGUAUGACAUAUGAUCUUCGAGAAGAUAUUGCCUCGCUAAAAACCAUUAUGAGAAACUUUGAGAGAAAACUCAUAAGGGAAAAGAGUGCAAUCGUACAUGCCAUUGAAAACUCCUUUAAAACCCAGUGGGAAAAUACAAGGAGAAAAUGAUAUGGCAUAUAAAGACACUUGUGUUUAUAUUGUAUCGUUAAAAACCUUUAUGAAACCAUUAGGGGACAAAUCAUCAAGGGAAAAAGAGUACAAUAUAUGCAAUCUGAUGAUUGUUAAUAAGUUAUAGUUUGGGAGAUUACUCCUCCUGAACUUUACAAAUAUGAAGGAUGUCUCAUAUCAAUUUCAUUGACAUGAACAUGAGAUUGAGUAUAAUCUGUUGGAUUAUAACAGUAUUUUGUUUGCAAAUUAUUUCCUCACUUUUCUAUAAUCCGUGAGGAUAAGUAAUUUCUAAGCAAUGUGAUUUAUGAUAUUGUUCUUCAUUUAACCUGUAGGUAUUGAUUAACACAAGUGGAAGUAUCUUGAUAAAUCAAGUUAUGUGAUUCUAAUGAAUCUCAAUCACAUGAUUUUGAGUGUGGUUAACCAUUCUACCGAGUUAUGCAUAUUUUGCAAUGCUUUUAGAUAAAUUAAUUAUGUCAGAAUGAUAACUGGAAAUAACCAUUAAAAUCCAUUUAGAUAACUUCCAUGUGAAGGCUAUUCAAGCAAAUUCAGUCAUUGAUAUGGCAUAGUUGGGAUCAAAUAAAGAGCCAAUAUCAUUACAUCAUAUCAUGGUCAUAUCUUCUAUUUCCUGAUGGAAAUAUUCAAGAUUUACUGUAAUCUUCAUAUAUAAGAUGAUAUUACUUAUAUCAACCAUAUACCUUCUGUUGGGGGUUGCACUCCGAAUAAAAAUAGCAAAUAUAGUGUGAGGCGUGACGUAGUUUGCAAGUAUACGAGUGCUUUGACAUUAGUGAGAUAUAGAACUUCAGGUCCUAGUAUCAUUUCUUUAUCAACCCUAGGUAUGAAUGGAUUUGUACCUUAUCGAAGGUAGUAUGACCAUACAUGUCUUAUUUCUAUGAUAUAUCCACACUAAACUUCUCGUAUAUGUUUUGGAUAUAUGUAGACUGAUACAUAUUCCUCAUAGAAUGCUCAAGUUGUAAACAUAAGCUAAAUUUGGUUAAAUCCAAAUUUUACGUCUUGAGUUGAUUUUGUGUAUGUUUAUGUCUAGUAGAGUCAUUGAUGACGAAAUCAUCGAUAUACACUGAGGUGAUAUAAGAAAUUCAAAUUUAGGAUUCCUUUGUUAACACAUAAACAAUCAUCAUUCUUUGAAUAAUCCUUCAGAAGAAGAAAAUCAUUUAGUCUGUAGUACCAUAUGAUUUGCGACUAUUUCGAGCCAUAGAGUGACUUCUGAAAUUUUACACAAAUAUAUUGCAAUUUAUUUUGGAUUUGGAAUUGUAAGCCCUUGAGGGACUUCGUUAUAAAAUUUCGAAACAAGUGACCCAUAUGAGUAUGUAGUCACUCCAUACAUUAUCUUCAUGGAUAAUAUUAUUUAUACUCCCAAUGAUAUUUAUUAUCGAAACAUAAUUUCACUCAUACAAAGAGGGUAUAUUACAUCAUAACUUGAUGUCGGGUCUCUACGUGAAACCUUUUGCUACAAGCCUCGCUUUCUCACCACUUCAUUGACUUUAUCUAUAAAUUAGAAGUUUUUGUAGUAUUCCUUAUGGGAGAUACUUAUGAGUAGUUGGUAUUACUAUGGUAAAUACCGCUCUUUGCUUAGUCAGUGUUAUUCUUCAUUACUUGCUUCCUUCUAUGUGAACCAAUAUGAGUGCAAGAGGCACUCUACCAUGGAUUUUGGUUCAGGGCCCAACAGGUUUUAUCAAUUUUGAGAAGAAUAUAUGUCGAAAAAUGUAGAGUUAUGUUAUAUGAUUCUGGAGGAAUCGAUGAAAUUUGUUGAAAUAUAUUUAUUCCUUUUUACUCCUUAUGAUUUCCUACAACAAUGGAGUCAAGGUGUUUCGAUGUCCCGACACAAAAACAUUUGUGCACAUUUAUAUCGGGCUUUGGAUGAUGAGCAUCCAGUGAGGUGUCUUUCAACUUGAUGUUGAAUUACAUUUACUGGUUAAGGAUUUGAUUCCCUCUAUUUUCGCGGAAGCAUAUGCGAGAUUAUAUCUCGUGUGGUCAUAUUUCUUCCCCUGUUGCUCUCAUUUGGGAAGAAGAGUGGUUUAUCAGGUACCUCCACUCUUUCUAACACUAUAUUGCAGGAAUAUAAAAUUGAGUGACAUCUUUGUCAUCAGUAAAUGUAUGUGGCAGAUUUGCAAUGUGUUGCAAAUAUGUGAUUCUAAACUUCUAGUUCAGAUUUUUUUAAUACGUGGAUAUAAGGACUGAAUGUCAAUAACAUCUCUAAUUUAUUUCUCGACAUUCUUUGUGGUACUUAUCUCCCCCUAAUGCCGGAAAUGUCCUUAUUGCUGAUGCAAUCAGUAUACGGGUUAUGAAUAAUUUUGAUUGACGGACAAAUUGUUAUUCCUCACAUAGAUCCAUAAUUUUCUGUGAGAGUCCAUUGAUGUAUGAUGGAGUGGUGAUAUCGGUAUGUAACUGAAUUAUCACAGAUAUAAAAUACUUUGUUGGUUUCCACGUAAUUACUACAAGGGGAAAGUAUUAUGCUAUGCACUUGGUAUGAUUUAUAUCAUACUUACUGUGUGUAAUACCGUAUUUGUCCCGGAAGAGGCUAGUAAAUUACAAUUCUAUAAGUUCGGUCAUGUUACUAAUUUCAGUAUCUUGGAUACAACCAUUUUGGGUAUGUACAUAAAGUAUUAUAUAAUAAUCAGACAUUGCUUGUGAAAUGAGUUCAACGAAGUUGUCCAUUCGAAUGGAUUUAUCCCUUGUUUAGGAUAAUUUGCUCUUACUUUGAGAAAGUGAGCAAUUAAUUUAAUUAUAUCAUUCAUGGUUUUGUGUGACAAGAGUCACACUUGAAAUCAUUUUAUAAAAUGUUUCCAUGAGUACCAUGAAGUAUCUAUAUAAUACCACAUAAUGGUUGAGUAAUCCACAUAUCUUCUGAAUGUUUUCAAGGAAGAAUGAGUGGCUCAUUUGAUUUUUAAGGUGGGACAUCGCACUACAUGUAGUAGCACAAGUAUAGGCUAAUGUUAUUUUGGGAAUACUUAGGAUAUUACAUGAGGUCACCCAUAUUAUUUGAAAAUUAAAUAUGCAAACAUAUCAUAGGCAUAAAGGAAUUGAUCAUUCUUUUAUUGCACUAUAUUUUUGGUUCUCCUUCUGAUUAAGAUUUGAGAACAUCAUUUACCAGAAUAGUUUUUGGUCGUAUGUUUGCAAAUUUUGUAAUAUUCCAAUGAACUUAUUUGCCUUUUAAUAAAUUCAUGGGGUGGUUUGACCAUAUGUUUGAGGGUUUGGUAUUCAUAUGUAUGAUAUUUAUGUAACCACACAUUUGACAAACUUAAGAGUUGUCUUUGUGAUCAUUUGGAAAUGAUCAAUUCCCAAUUAAAAGGUAAUUCUAUCAUUGGUUGUCUUUAGCCUCCACUUUACUUUGAAUUCCUCAUGGUUUUGUUCUGUGAUUGGCUUGCAUAGUAUUCUCAAUGCUAGCAAAUAUUUGAAGCCCUCGUUGGGUGAAUAUGAUGAUUUUAAGAAAUAACAUGUUUCUUUACCAUGAAAAUGGUAAUACCAUCAUAAAGUGUAUUAUGCGAUUUUUAAUCAGAUUCAAAUAUGAAAAAUAUCCGAUCAAAAAAUCUCAACUUAAAGUUGAUUUUAUAACUACCAAAAUUGUAAGUUGCGAUAGACUUGAGGCCUUGAAAAAUUAUUGGGUGAUCAUUCCAAAAGUGCUCAUGGCAGCAUGUUUCUCUUAAGGGAAAUAUUCAAGGUGAAUAGAUAUUCAUCCAUUAUGUACUCAGUUUGAGAACUAAGUGAAGUUGGUGACAGACGAAACACAUAUGAACAUACUUGGCUAUUAAGAGAAUAGCCAUGACACAUAUUGCGAAGGUGGAAUUAUAGUGGCCACAAAUGCCGCAUGUGGAUAUAAUGACUAAUGUCAUGAAUCAUCUUACAAUAAAUACUCCCACCAAAUCAUGCAUUUACUAUAUUUGGAAAUGUCAGCCAUGCAUUACUUCAAAAUGCUAAUGCAUUUAUUUAAUUUACUUCUAGGAGUAAGUGGCAUCUAUGAAUAAAUGAUUUGUUUGAGAACAAUCAUGGCCAAGGUGAUCCUUGGUGAACGUGGGUGUAUCCUUCCAUACAACACAUGUGAUGAAAUUAUUGCUAAUGUUUUGGACUUCAUUCUUUAAGAAAGUGUGUGACUUUAGAGUCACUGCCAAAACGUAUAGACUUGCAUGCUUAACAUUAGUUAGUCACUAUGAAAGUAUAACCACGAUGUGAUGUGGACCUUGCAAAAGUGUUGAGUCACUCGAUCAUUGCCAUAAAUUAUGGGGUCCAUCUUGAUGGAUGAACGACACUUUAAUUAGAAAUAGUGACGUAGGUUCCAUUGCCAUGUAUUUUACCAAUGUAAUAAAAUGUAAUCAUUGGAGUAUGCAAAUAUUUGCAUAAUUCUCUAUGAUGUAUUCAAACAAAAUUAGGCUUGAAUAAUUGAUAUUGGUAGAUAAUACCAUUCAACAUGCAAUAAUCAUGCAUGAAUUUACUAUGAUAGUAAAUCAUUUUAGUGAACAACAACAAUUGCUUCAGAGAAGAAAAUUUUAGAUUAGCUGAUGCUUUUAUAACCAUAUGUGUAGACCUCAAUUUAUAUAGGAUAACGCUUUGAGGAUAAUCACCAAUAUGGUGUAGAACUCAAAGUAAUAGAAAACAUAGUCUGACUUUUCUCAGUAGAUGUUCAUGUCUACUACCUUAUGUCAUUAGAUAUUGAUAUUACCUUAUGAUAUCUUGAGGUAGUCACAUUUAAUAUUAAUAAUUGGAAGAGCACAUCGAAGAUAGUCAUCUUGUUAAAAUAAAAAGAUGUAGACUUCACAGUAGUGGUGAAUAAUCUGCAUAUGAUGUAGUAGAUGUCACCAAUACCUUGUGAUUCACAAGUAAAAUUUGGAUUAGUCAUAUUAAGUAUGCCACUUUAUAAUUCUUAGGAUUUGCAAGGAGAUAAAAUCAAUUGCAAAAAAACGUAGUUGUUCUAAAACUGGUAUAUACAACAAAGGCGGAGGCAAUUAUGUAUAACAUGGAACAAUAGCGUCUCAAUAUGUAAUGUUCCGCAAUUUGAUGAAAUUGCAAGGUAUGAACACCUGAACAGUAGUACUAUGCUCAUAAAACAUGUAGAAUUAAUGUUUUAGUUUAUGAUGCACAAUAUGACAAGACCAAAGGGUCUGAGUCACAUGAUUACAAUUAGCCCGAGGGCUUCUAUGCAACCAGUACUAAGCCUGAUGGGUAUACUUGUCACAAGAGAAAAUUAGAAAUGCUAAAGUGUUAAAUGGCCGAAGAGAUAAGGUUCUCCGGUGAUUCUCGUUACGACCAAGAAUCCAUUGAUUCAAUUAGCUUUGGCUGUACAAGGUCAUAGCAAAUCGCCUCGUGAGGAAUUAGGAGGGAAGACGGCGUCGCAGAUCGAAGGUCGUCUGCACCCGAGGAGCAUCUCCCAUUCGUGGGCAGAUGUUGGCCGCCGCCGGCCGCCAUGUCGUCACGCUGAAUCAAGAGAAGUGGCAUCACAGCCGAAGGCCGCCGUGCUCGGGGAAGAAGCCACGGGGCCAAGGGCCUCCGCACGCUCCGUGAUGGGCCCCGUCAUCCCUAGGUUGGAUACACCUCUGCGUUGGGGCCGAAGGCCGUGGCAACACCAUGAGCGUCGCUUGUGUCAUCGGCCAGCGGGUCGCGUCCGAGGGAGAACCACGCACCGCGCCAUGGUCGUGCUCCGCCUGUGGGAGGAGCAUCGCGUCAGAUGCUUCAUCCGAGAGGUGGAGGACGCCGUCAUCGCGAAACGCCGAGGUACGCUCGCUGGGUCUUCUUCCCUUAUUUUUCCCUGGACGUUUUGUUGCUGAUAAUUGCGAUGGCGACUAGAUCGUCAUAGUGGACGUUGAAGAAGGGAACAAAAAUGCGAAGAAUAUUUUUCUUGUUCCUCAUCUUCUAGUCUUGUUCUUGAUGUUGAUUCUUCUUUUCUUCUUGAUUGAGGCUUUCUUGAGUAUCGAGUAAUCCAUCUCACCAUGAGGAUACGCCGGGUGAAGCGAUUUGCAAAACAAAACAAUUAUUAGUUCUUUGAUUGAUUGCAACAAGACAAAGCAAAUUGAAGAAUCUCCUAAUUUAGUUUUCCUCUUUUUAGAGAGGCAUCUCCAUUGAUUCCUGCCAUGGAAGAGAGACUAGUCGAAUCGGCAGCGCCGUAGCGGCAGAUAUGCUCCUCUUCUGGUGUGGCCUUUUCUCAACGGGGAGCAAAAGUGCGUGAUAAUGUGUUAGAGUAAAACGAGAUUGAAUGAAAUAAAAUGGAUCAUUAGUCCUGAUUUCUAUUGAUUCUUAAGUAUACAUACAUAUCGAAGAGGUGGGAAGAAGAGGUGUCUGUUGGUAAUAUAGAGAAGAGACAUGACUGUUCGGGGUUGGACACCCUUUUGCUAAUUUGGGGUUGGACGCCCUUUGCUAAAUUAAUUUCAUAACUUCAGAAAGUUUUCGGAUUUCCAAUUUUUUUUUAUUAAAUAUAUCUAUUUUUUUCUAUUUUUCCAAUCAAAUAAAUAUUCACGGUUCCAAGUUUCUCCAGAAUUUCAAUAAAUGUUAUUAUUUUUAGGAAUUUGUUCAAAAAGUAAAAAUCUUAAACUGUUAAUGGUUUCAAAAUAUUUUUCCAUAUUUUAAUUUAUGUUCACAAAUUCAACACAUGUGCAUGAUUUUCAAGAAAUGUUCUUACUUUUUUCUAAAUUUGUUCCCAAAUCCAAAAAAUGUUGGCACUUUUACAUAUAUAUUCGGAAUUUCGAAACAUAUACACAUCUAUUUUUCAGAACUGUAUUUUUUUUUGCUACAAUAGCUUAUUCGAGUUCACUGCUGUAGGCUGCGGUUUUGAAGAUGCAGUUGAUUAUUUUAAGAUCUGUGAUGCCCUUCGAGAUGUUAGGAACACGCAAUCGACAACCGGCUUAUUGCGAGUUCGAGUCCUCAUCAGGAUGCUACCUUUUUUUGCGAUUUUUUGGCCGCAUUCAGUGGGCCGUGUCCAGUCGAUGCCGCCGCUGGACAUCGUGCGCUUACCUUAAGCCGUUGUUCAUAGAUCUCACUCGGAGCACCGUCGUCAAGCGUCGGAUCAAACCCGAUCCUGCAAGUGUAAGGACUGUCGUAGCACUGCCAGAUGAGGGCCACACGGCCCAUGCCUCGACGUUGCCCACCAUCGGCAACCACCACAAUCGCCGCCCAGAGGAUGCCAGACUAUCCGACUACGCCACCGCAACCCAGCCAUCGCGGUCAUGUCGAAUCUCAUCGACCAGUCCCUGUCAUCACCAUGCAUCGCUACAUGCCAUUUCUUCGUGGCCACGGAUGCGAGCGUGUCAAGCCCUGAUACCACCUUUCCUAGCAUCAUGGCGGCUUCGCGAUGACCCCUCCAAGGACAGUGGCACAAGAAAGAGAGGAAGGGGAAGACUAGAGGGACAAAGACCAGAUUUCCCCCACUCCCCCUCGUAUCCGAGGCGCGGCGACGCGAAGUUCAAAAUCGUUAUGUAAUAAGUAGCAGCCGUCGUGACUUGUGAGUGAUGCCCUUGUGACAACGUAAAGAUUUAAUGGCNCAUACAUACAUACAUACACAUACUCCUAUGCAUAGAAGAGAGAACGCACACAUGGUGCGUGUGGUUGGAUACUAACCUAACAUUGGUCGUGCAUGUGAUGGUCUUGACAAUGUAAAGAUCGACAACAACUAUUUAUGUUUGAGAUAAAUACACGAAUGGUCAUUGUUUUUUAGUCGAAAGUUUACUAUGAUUUAGGACCGAGCCUACAGUGGUUCUAAAAGUGCGGCCGGGCCCCAUAUUCCAAGGGCCCCAGUUUUUUACAUAGGCCUAGUACUAAUAAAAACAAACCGUGUUACUCGGCCUCCUCCAUGCUGGCGCUGGAGUUGGACUAGAGGAGGUGAGCAGUGGCAGCCAACUAUCGAGUGGCCAUGCAGCAGGUAGUACUAGCCCCCCUCUAUUUCCUCAACGUGAAAUUUGGAAAAGGGAAAAAAGGCCUAUGUGAAGCCCACUAGUGGCCAGACUGGGGCUAACCUCCUCGCCUGUGCGUUGUCUCAUCCCGUAAUUAGCUAGUACGCUGGAUUAGUGAUUAGUCGCCGCCGUUGUGUGCCCUUGCCACCAUUGUGUGGGAUUAGUGAUAAGUAUAAUUUCAAAAAAAUCUAUAAGAUAUAUAUACAUUAUAAAAACAUUUUGGUUUAUUUUUUUGUGACAUAGGGUCCCGUUUGUAUUUUCGCACAGGGCCUCGGAUUUGGCCGGCCCGGUCCUGCUAUGAUUACUGUACUUUGAAAUAUGCUUAUUAUGAUCAUUAUAUACGUGCUGACGUAAUUAUACGAUCACUGGCUCGCCGUAUAACAUUCCUGCGACACCAGAUGCAUUCCUGCGACGUGGCGCCGAAUAACGCGACAUACAGUACGCUGAUCAAUGUGUAUGAGGGUGGCANNNNNNNNNNNNNNNNNNNNNNNNNNNNNNNNNNNNNNNNNNNNNNNNNNNNNNNNNNNNNNNNNNNNNNNNNNNNNNNNNNNNNNNNNNNNNNNNNNNNNNNNNNNNNNNNNNNNNNNNNNNNNNNNNNNNNNNNNNNNNNNNNNNNNNNNNNNNNNNNNNNNNNNNNNNNNNNNNNNNNNNNNNNNNNNNNNNNNNNNNNNNNNNNNNNNNNNNNNNNNNNNNNNNNNNNNNNNNNNNNNNNNNNNNNNNNNNNNNNNNNNNNNNNNNNNNNNNNNNNNNNNNNNNNNNNNNNNNNNNNNNNNNNNNNNNNNNNNNNNNNNNNNNNNNUGGACAUCUUUGCUAUAGUUUGUAUACUUACCAUACCUUGAAUGAUAGUUAUGAAAAUAUGCGCGUGACUUCGUCGGAGGGGAAAUGAGGUGCAGAGGCAGGGGCAACAAGACAUGGGUGACGCCGGCGUCGGCUAUGUCACCAACCUGGGCGUGCGUCGUCUCCAGCCACCUCGCACCGCGCCUUCACUAGAUCCACUCUUGUUGGGCGCCGUCGGCCCGCCCUCUUCUCCGCAUGCUGGGAGGNNNNN